RNAcentral lists this transfer RNA (68 nucleotides) under Leptoderma retropinna. RNAcentral describes it as "tRNA-Arg". It matches the Rfam family "tRNA". Rfam says of the family: Transfer RNA (tRNA) molecules are approximately 80 nucleotides in length. Their secondary structure includes four short double-helical elements and three loops (D, anti-codon, and T loops). The record is from RNAcentral. Lineage: Eukaryota; Metazoa; Chordata; Actinopteri; Alepocephaliformes; Alepocephalidae.
AGGGGGUUAGUCCAAAAAGACCUCUGAUUUCGGCUCAGAAAAUCACGGUUAAAAUCCGUGACUCCCUU